Molecule: ribosomal RNA, 257 nt
Filed under: uncultured bacterium
Lineage: Bacteria
Description: partial 16S ribosomal RNA
Rfam family: Bacterial small subunit ribosomal RNA
Source: RNAcentral
GACGGGGGGGGGGGGAAGUGUUCUUCGGAAUGACUGGGCGUAAAGGGCACGGUAGGCGGUGAAUCGGGUUGAAAGUGAAAGUCGCCAAAAAGUGGCGGAAUGCUCUCGAAACCAAUUCACUUGAGUGAGACAGAGGAGAGUGGAAUUUCGUGUGUAGGGGUGAAUCCGUAGAUCGUACGAAAGGAACGCCAAAAGCAAAGGCAACUCUCUGGGUCCCUAACCAAUGCUGGGGUGCGAAAGCAUGAGGAUUGAACAAG